GAUGAACGCUGGCGGCGUGCCUAAUACAUGCAAGUCGAGCGAACAGACGAGGAGCUUGCUCCUCUGACGUUAGCGGCGGACGGGUGAGUAACACGUGGAUAACCUACCUAUAAGGCUGGGAUAACUUCGGGAAACCGGAGCUAAUACCGGAUAAUAUAUUGAACCGCAUGGUUCAAUAGUGAAAGACGGUUUUGCUGUCACUUAUAGAUGGAUCCGCGCCGCAUUAGCUAGUUGGUAAGGUAACGGCUUACCAAGGCAACGAUGCGUAGCCGACCUGAGAGGGUGAUCGGCCAUAUUGGAACUGAGACACGGUCAAGACUCCUAAGGGAGGCAGCAGUAGGGAAUCUUCCGCAAUGGGCGAAAGCUUGACGGAGCAACGCCGCGUGAGUGAUGAAGGUCUUCGGAUCGUAAAACUCUGUUAUUAGGGAAGAACAAAUGUGUAAGUAACUAUGCACGGCUUGACGGUACCUAAUCAGAAAGCCACGGCUAACUACGUG
Molecule: ribosomal RNA, 497 nt
Filed under: uncultured bacterium
Lineage: Bacteria
Description: partial 16S ribosomal RNA
Rfam family: Bacterial small subunit ribosomal RNA
Source: RNAcentral